Molecule: ribosomal RNA, 301 nt
Filed under: uncultured bacterium
Lineage: Bacteria
Description: partial 16S ribosomal RNA
Rfam family: Bacterial small subunit ribosomal RNA
Source: RNAcentral
CAGUCGCCGCGGUAACACGAAGGGGGCUAGCGUUGUUCGGAUUUACUGGGCGUAAAGGGCGCGUAGGCGGACUGAUAAGUCAGGGGUGAAAUCCCAAGGCUCAACCUUGGAACUGCCUUUGAUACUGUUUGUCUUGAGUUCGAGAGAGGUAAGUGGAACUGCGAGUGUAGAGGUGAAAUUCGUAGAUAUUCGCAAGAACACCAGUGGCGAAGGCGGCUUACUGGCUCGAAACUGACGCUGAGGGGCGAAAGCGUGGGGAGCAAACAGGAUUAGAUACCCCUGUAGUCCCUGUCUCUAUACA